This 824-nucleotide ribosomal RNA is filed under the name Flavobacterium sp. RNAcentral's name for it is "bacterial SSU rRNA". It matches the Rfam family "Bacterial small subunit ribosomal RNA", at positions 151 to 978 of the family's 1533-position model. RNAcentral also lists the same sequence under 1 other name. Lineage: Bacteria; Pseudomonadati; Bacteroidota; Flavobacteriia; Flavobacteriales; Flavobacteriaceae. The record is from RNAcentral.
GAGAAAUUUGGAUUAAUACCUUAUAGUAAUACGACUUGGCAUCAAGAUGUAUUUAAAGAUUUAUCGGUGAAAGAUGAGCAUGCGUCCCAUUAGCUUGUUGGUAAGGUAACGGCUUACCAAGGCAACGAUGGGUAGGGGUCCUGAGAGGGAGAUCCCCCACACUGGUACUGAGACACGGACCAGACUCCUACGGGAGGCAGCAGUGAGGAAUAUUGGACAAUGGGCGCAAGCCUGAUCCAGCCAUGCCGCGUGCAGGAUGACGGUCCUAUGGAUUGUAAACUGCUUUUGUACAGGAAGAAACCCUUUCACGUGUGGAAGAUUGACGGUACUGUAAGAAUAAGGAUCGGCUAACUCCGUGCCAGCAGCCGCGGUAAUACGGAGGAUCCAAGCGUUAUCCGGAAUCAUUGGGUUUAAAGGGUCCGUAGGCGGUCAAGUAAGUCAGUGGUGAAAGCCCAUCGCUCAACGGUGGAACGGCCAUUGAUACUGCUUGACUUGAAUUAUUAGGAAGUAACUAGAAUAUGUAGUGUAGCGGUGAAAUGCUUAGAGAUUACAUGGAAUACCAAUUGCGAAGGCAGGUUACUACUAAUGGAUUGACGCUGAUGGACGAAAGCGUGGGUAGCGAACAGGAUUAGAUACCCUGGUAGUCCACGCCGUAAACGAUGGAUACUAGCUGUUGGGAGCAAUCUCAGUGGCUAAGCGAAAGUGAUAAGUAUCCCACCUGGGGAGUACGUUCGCAAGAAUGAAACUCAAAGGAAUUGACGGGGGCCCGCACAAGCGGUGGAGCAUGUGGUUUAAUUCGAUGAUACGCGAGGAACCUUACCAAG